Molecule: long non-coding RNA, 442 nt
Filed under: Junco hyemalis (dark-eyed junco)
Lineage: Eukaryota; Metazoa; Chordata; Aves; Passeriformes; Passerellidae
Description: lncRNA (ENSJHYG00000007893.1)
Source: RNAcentral
GCCAUUUCAUGGCUUAGCAAAGAAGAAGUCCUGUGCAAAACUGGCCAGUGGCAGCUUCUCUCUCCCAUUCCCUCUGCUUGGAGCACAUACUUGGCACCAUAUCAUGAGUUUCACUUUCAGAAACCAGCUGUCAAGUUAUCAGGCUGAGAGAUGAUUGUUUCAAUCUGCUGGGUUUCUGGUGAUCUGCAUGACAAGCAUCACAGGACUGCCAUGAACUGGAAUGAAAUGCAUUGCAAGUGAAAGGAAAAAUAAACCAUACACUUUUAUAAACAGCUGUGUGACUUUGGACUUUGGAAAACCUGAGUUUUGUCUACAUGCUGAAGUUCACCCCAGGUAUCACAAAUAGUGACAAACUAAUUCUCAGUAAAGAACCAGAAGUUCUUAAGUAUUGAAAAAUACUGCUUUUUUCCACAAAAUAAAAACUUUGUGAGAAGUUGUAACA